This 308-nucleotide ribosomal RNA is filed under the name uncultured eukaryote. RNAcentral describes it as "SSU rRNA". It matches the Rfam family "Eukaryotic small subunit ribosomal RNA", at positions 111 to 414 of the family's 1831-position model. The record is from RNAcentral.
AAUAGUUUCUUUGGUGGUGACCUACUACAUGGAUAACCGUAGUAAUUCUAGAGCUAAUACAUGCGUAAAGUCCCGACUCUCGCGCGGAGGGAUGUAUUUAUUAGAUAAAAAACCAAUGCGGGCUCUGCCCGGUUUUGUGGUGAAUCAUAGUAACUUUUCGAAUCGCAUGGCUUCACGCCGGCGAUAGUUCAUUCAAAUUUCUGCCCUAUCAGCUUUCGACGGUAGUGUAGUGGACUACCGUGGCGUUAACGGGUAACGGAGAAUUAGGGUUCGAUUCCGGAGAGGGAGCCUGAGAAACGGCUACCACA